AAAAGAACUUUGGAGAGAGAGUCAAACAGUACGUGAAACCGUUGGGAGGGAAACGAACGAGGUUGGUGCAGUGAUUGCGCAGGCUCAGGUUCUGCCGAAGGUGCCGUCAGGGUGACCGAUGUGUCCCCGGGCGUCCGCCGGAGGCAGAGCUGUACUCCUCGCGAGCACGGACCAGCAGCGGUUGGAGUGGAGCCACAAGGCUGACAGAAAGGUAGGUCGGGUCGGGUUCGCUCGCUCGACAACUUACAGACUGGCUGUCCGGCACUCCACUCGGACCGAGGAAAGGGGGCAGCUCUUGCCCGGUAUGGUGCACGCCGUAUGGCGGGGCCUCCCGUCGAGGGCGAGCCGUGCGGGGUUGACUGCAUGCAGUGCUCACCGUCACGGCGGACCCACGGUCGGAGAGUGUCACUUGUGCACCAGUGCUGCUGGUAUUCGGACGGCCUCGUCCGACCCGUCUUG
Molecule: small RNA, 459 nt
Filed under: Dysidea sp. GW33400
Lineage: Eukaryota; Metazoa; Porifera; Demospongiae; Dictyoceratida; Dysideidae
Also listed under: 2 other names
Description: partial large subunit ribosomal RNA
Source: RNAcentral